AUUGAACGCUGGCGGCAGGCCUAACACAUGCAAGUCGAGCGGAUGAAGGGAGCUUGCUCCUGGAUUCAGCGGCGGACGGGUGAGUAAUGCCUAGGAAUCUGCCUGGUAGUGGGGGAUAACGUCCGGAAACGGGCGCUAAUACCGCAUACGUCCUGAUGGAGAAAGGGGGGGAUCUUCGGACCUCACGCUAUUAGAUGAGCCUAGGUCGGAUUAGCUAGUUGGUGGGGUAAAGGCCUACCAAGGCGACGAUCCGUAACUGGUCUGAGAGGAUGAUCAGUCACACUGGAACUGAGACACGGUCCAGACUCCUACGGGAGGCAGCAGUGGGGAAUAUUGGACAAUGGGCGAAAGCCUGAUCCAGCCAUGCCGCGUGUGUGAAGAAGGUCUUCGGAUUGUAAAGCACUUUAAGUUGGGAGGAAGGGAAGUAAGUUAAUACCUUGCUGUUUUGACGUUACCAACAGAAUAAGCAACGGCUAACUUCGUG
This 484-nucleotide ribosomal RNA is filed under the name uncultured bacterium. Its description in RNAcentral is "partial 16S ribosomal RNA". It matches the Rfam family "Bacterial small subunit ribosomal RNA", at positions 30 to 507 of the family's 1533-position model. The record is from RNAcentral.